This 97-nucleotide ribosomal RNA is filed under the name uncultured bacterium. RNAcentral describes it as "partial 16S ribosomal RNA". It matches the Rfam family "Bacterial small subunit ribosomal RNA", at positions 1388 to 1482 of the family's 1533-position model. The record is from RNAcentral.
CACCGCCCGUCACACCAUGGGAGCUGGUUUGACCUGAAGACGGUGCGCUAACCCGCAAGGGAGGCAGCCGGCCACGGUCAGGUCAGCGACUGGGGUG